This 76-nucleotide transfer RNA is filed under the name Subdoligranulum variabile. Its description in RNAcentral is "tRNA-Thr". It matches the Rfam family "tRNA". Rfam says of the family: Transfer RNA (tRNA) molecules are approximately 80 nucleotides in length. Their secondary structure includes four short double-helical elements and three loops (D, anti-codon, and T loops). Further hydrogen bonds mediate the characteristic L-shaped molecular structure. tRNAs have two regions of fundamental functional importance: the anti-codon, which is responsible for specific mRNA codon recognition, and the 3' end, to which the tRNAs corresponding amino acid is attached (by aminoacyl-tRNA synthetases). tRNAs cope with the degeneracy of the genetic code in two manners: having more than one tRNA (with a specific anti-codon) for a particular amino acid; and 'wobble' base-pairing, i.e. permitting non-standard base-pairing at the 3rd anti-codon position. The record is from RNAcentral. Lineage: Bacteria; Bacillati; Bacillota; Clostridia; Eubacteriales; Oscillospiraceae. RNAcentral also lists the same sequence under 1 other name.
GCUAGCAUAGCACAAUUGGCAGUGCAGCUGAUUUGUAAUCAGCAGGUUGCAGGUUCGAUUCCUGUUGCUAGCUCCA